This 2015-nucleotide ribosomal RNA is filed under the name Meloidogyne naasi. RNAcentral's name for it is "SSU rRNA". The stretch from base 1 to 1741 matches the Rfam family "Eukaryotic small subunit ribosomal RNA". The record is from RNAcentral. Lineage: Eukaryota; Metazoa; Nematoda; Chromadorea; Rhabditida; Meloidogynidae.
AUGUACCAGUUUAAUCGAUUUAUCGAGAAACCGCGAACGGCUCAUUACAAUGGCCAUGAUUUACUUGAUCUUGAUUAAUCCUAAAUGGAUAACUGUGGAAAAUCUAGAGCUAAUACAUGCACUAAAGCUUUGACCUUACGGAAAAGCGCAUUUAUUAGAACAAAACCACGCGGCUUCGGCUGCUUUUUGUUGACUCAGAAUAACUAAGCUGACCGCAUGGCCUCAGUGCCGGCGGCGUGUCUUUCAAGCGUCCACUUUAUCAACUUGACGGGAGCAUAAUCGACUCCCGUGGUUGUGACGGAUAACGGAGGAUAAGGGUUCGACUCCGGAGAAGGGGCCUGAGAAAUGGCCACUACGUCUAAGGAUGGCAGCAGGCGCGCAAAUUACCCACUCUCGGCUCGAGGAGGUAGUGACGAGAAAUAACGAGACCGUUCUCAUUGAGGCCGGUCAUCGGAAUGGGUACAAUUUAAACCCUUUAACGAGUAUCAAGGAGAGGGCAAGUCUGGUGCCAGCAGCCGCGGUAAUUCCAGCUUCUCCUAAUGCAUAGAAUUAUUGCUGCGGUUAAAAAGCUCGUAGUUGGAUUCGUAUCGAUACUCUGGAACCCUUCGGGUGUUUCUGGAUGUUAUCGAUUUUAUCGUAAUGUUCGGUUUUGAGUCCUUAACAGGAUUCUUAACAGGCAUUGCAAGUUUACUUUGAACAAAUCAGAGUGCUUCAAACAGGCGUAUUCGCUUGAAUGAUCGUGCAUGGAAUAAUAGAAAACGAUUUCGGUUCAGUUUUAUUGGUUUUACGGACUGAGAUAAUGGUUAACAGAGACAAACGGGGGCAUUUGUAUGGCCACGUGAGAGGUGAAAUUCUUGGACCGUGGCCAGACAAACUACAGCGAAAGCAUUUGCCAAGAAUGUCUUCAUUAAUCAAGAACGAAAGUCAGAGGUUCGAAGGCGAUCAGAUACCGCCCUAGUUCUGACCGUAAACGAUGCCAACUAGCGAUCCGCCGAUGGAGAUUAUAAUUGCCUUGGUGGGGAGCUUCCCGGAAACGAAAGUCUUCCGGUUCCGGGGGAAGUAUGGUUGCAAAGCUGAAACUUAAAGGAAUUGACGGAAGGGCACCACCAGGAGUGGAGCCUGCGGCUUAAUUUGACUCAACACGGGAAAACUCACCCGGCCCGGACACUGUGAGGAUUGACAGAUUGAUAGCUUUUUCAUGAUUCAGUGGAUGGUGGUGCAUGGCCGUUCUUAGUUCGUGGAGUGAUUUGUCUGGUUUAUUCCGAUAACGAGCGAGACUCUAACCUACUAAAUAGUUGAUAUUUUUUUAUAAGAGUAUACAACUUCUUAGAGGGAUUUGCGGUGUUUAGCCGAAAGAAAUUGAGCAAUAACAGGUCUGUGAUGCCCUUAGAUGUCCGGGGCUGCACGCGCGCUACACUGGCAAAAUCAACGUGCUUGUCCUUCCCCGAAAGGGGCGGGUAAACCAUUGAAAAUUUGCCGUGAUUGGGAUCGGAAAUUGCAAUUAUUUUCCGUGAACGAGGAAUUCCAAGUAAGUGCGAGUCAUCAGCUCGCGUUGAUUACGUCCCUGCCCUUUGUACACACCGCCCGUCGCUGCCCGGGACUGAGCCAUUUCGAGAAAUUUGGGGACCGUUAAUUAAACAUUUAUUUGUUUUUUUGAUGGAAACCAAUUUAAUCGCAGUGGCUUGAACCGGGCAAAAGUCGUAACAAGGUAGCUGUAGGUGAACCUGCUGCUGGAUCAUUACUUUUAUUGUAAUGCUUUACAUUUGAAUGUUCGCAUCAACUUUUGUGUUGAUGUGUAACGGCUGCCGCUGGUGUCUAGGUGUUGCUGAUUCAGCUGUGAGCGUCCGUGGCUGAAUAUGAGGUAACAUGUUAGGAUUUUUUUCUCUUUAUGGAGAAUAAUCGUAAGACUUAAUGAGCCUCUUAAGUGAGGACGCCAGCAACUAUUUUUUUUAAAUAAAUUUUUUUAUUUUUCAAAUGAAAAUAAAUUAACCUUACCGGUGGAUCACUCGGCUCGU